AUCUCGUUUAGAUCACCGCAGUCAAGCAUCAUUGGGCGCGGUCAGUACUUGGGUGGGUGACCACCUGGGAACACCGCGUGCCGUU
Molecule: non-coding RNA, 85 nt
Organism: Caerostris darwini
Lineage: Eukaryota; Metazoa; Arthropoda; Arachnida; Araneae; Araneidae
Source: the annotation of a GenBank genome assembly